This 493-nucleotide ribosomal RNA is filed under the name uncultured bacterium. RNAcentral describes it as "partial 16S ribosomal RNA". It matches the Rfam family "Bacterial small subunit ribosomal RNA", at positions 29 to 508 of the family's 1533-position model. The record is from RNAcentral.
AGUGAACGCUGGCGGUAGGCCUAACACAUGCAAGUCGAACGGCAGCACAGUAAGAGCUUGCUCUUACGGGUGGCGAGUGGCGGACGGGUGAGGAAUACAUCGGAAUCUACUUUUUCGUGGGGGAUAACGUAGGGAAACUUACGCUAAUACCGCAUACGACCUACGGGUGAAAGCAUGGGAUCUUCGGACCUUGCGCGAUUGAAUGAGCCGAUGUCGGAUUAGCUAGUUGGCGGGGUAAAGGCCCACCAAGGCGACGAUCCGUAGCUGGUCUGAGAGGAUGAUCAGCCACACUGGGAGUGAGACACGGUCCAGACGCCUACGGGAGGCAGCAGUGGGGAAUAGUGGGCAAUGGGCGCAAGCCUGAUCCAGCCAUACCGAGUGGGUGAGGAAGGCCUUCGGGUUGUAAAGCCCUUUUGUUGGGAAAGAAAAGCAGCAGGUUAAUACCCAGCUGUUCUGACGGUACCCAAAGAAUAAGCACCGGCUAACUUCGUGC